Molecule: unclassified non-coding RNA, 483 nt
Filed under: Hevea brasiliensis (rubber tree)
Lineage: Eukaryota; Viridiplantae; Streptophyta; Magnoliopsida; Malpighiales; Euphorbiaceae
Source: RNAcentral
GGGAAAUCUGUAAGAUCAAACCCCAGAAAUUUUCCUUCUUCCAACUUCAAAUAAUGUCGGGCGUUACCAAUCAAGAAGAGGACAAGAAGCCCACCGAUCAGUCGGCUCAUAUCAACCUCAAAGUCAAGGGCCAGGAUGGAAAUGAAGUUUUCUUCCGGAUCAAAAGGAGUACCCAACUGAAGAAGCUAAUGAAUGCUUACUGUGACAGGCAGUCGGUUGAUUUGAACUCCAUUGCAUUCUUGUUUGACGGCCGCCGACUGCGUGCAGAGCAGACUCCGGAAGAGCUGGAAAUGGAGGAUGGAGAUGAGAUUGAUGCAAUGCUUCACCAAACUGGAGGUGGAGGUUCUAUUAUCUAAGUUAAAUCUCAAAGACAAAAUAGUUCCUAAACAUCAUUUGGAAUUCUAUAAUUUUCUUACUACUGCUAGUAUAUGCUGAACUUCUGCUGCUGGAUGUUGCUUUUGUCUAUAAAUUAUGAUAACGAUU